UGACCUCAAAUCAGGUAGGACUACCCGCUGAACUUAAGCAUAUCAAUAAGCGGGAGGA
RNAcentral lists this ribosomal RNA (58 nucleotides) under Fomes fomentarius. RNAcentral's name for it is "partial 28S ribosomal RNA". The record is from RNAcentral. Lineage: Eukaryota; Fungi; Basidiomycota; Agaricomycetes; Polyporales; Polyporaceae.